RNAcentral lists this ribosomal RNA (569 nucleotides) under Espadarana prosoblepon (emerald glass frog). RNAcentral describes it as "partial 16S ribosomal RNA". It matches the Rfam family "Bacterial large subunit ribosomal RNA", at positions 1832 to 2597 of the family's 2925-position model. Lineage: Eukaryota; Metazoa; Chordata; Amphibia; Anura; Centrolenidae. The record is from RNAcentral.
CGCCUCUUGAAUAAAUAUAAGAGGUCCAGCCUGCCCAGUGACUCUGUUCAACGGCCGCGGUAUCCUAACCGUGCGAAGGUAGCGUAAUCACUUGUUCUUUAAAUGAGGACUAGUAUGAAUGGCACCACGAAGGUUAUACUGUCUCCUCUCUCUAAUCAGUGAAACUAAUCUCCCCGUGAAGAAGCGGGAAUAAACAUAUAAGACGAGAAGACCCUAUGGAGCUUUAAACUAUGUAACACUUGCACCACCACAGCACAAAUUUCAGAAAAAUCUCUCCAACGCAUGCAAGCUUAUUACCAGUUUUAGGUUGGGGUGACCGCGGAGCAAAAAACAACCUCCACAUUGAAAGGAACUUACUCCUUAGCCAAGAGCCACACCUCCACGCACCAUUAUAAUGACAUUAAUUGACCCAAUAUUUUGAUCAACGAACCAAGUUACCCUAGGGAUAACAGCGCAAUCCAUUUCAAGAGCUCCUAUCGACAAAUGGGUUUACGACCUCGAUGUUGGAUCAGGGUAUCCCAGUGGUGCAGCCGCUACCAAAGGUUCGUUUGUUCAACGAUUAAAACCCU